UCCCUUGUGGCUCAGCUGGUAAAGAAUCUGCCUGCAAUGCAGAAGACCUGGGUUGAAUCCCUGGGUAGGGAA
Molecule: non-coding RNA, 72 nt
Organism: Bos taurus (domestic cattle)
Lineage: Eukaryota; Metazoa; Chordata; Mammalia; Artiodactyla; Bovidae
Source: Rfam